UACGUAGGGGGCAAGCGUUGUCCGGAAUCAUUGGGCGUAAAGAGCGUGUAGGCGGCUCGAUAAGUCCGCUGUGAAAGUCCAGGGCUCAACCCUGGAAUGCCGGUGGAAACUGUCGAGCUAGAAUCCGGAAGAGGCGAGUGGAAUUCCUGGUGUAGCGGUGAAAUGCGCAGAUAUCAGGAGGAACACCAAUGGCGAAGGCAGCUCGCUGGGACGGUAUUGACGCUGAGGCGCGAAAGUGUGGGGAGCAAACCGG
This 253-nucleotide unclassified non-coding RNA is filed under the name uncultured Solirubrobacterales bacterium. Its description in RNAcentral is "contains 16S-23S intergenic spacer region". It matches the Rfam family "Bacterial small subunit ribosomal RNA", at positions 524 to 776 of the family's 1533-position model. The record is from RNAcentral. Lineage: Bacteria; Bacillati; Actinomycetota; Thermoleophilia; Solirubrobacterales.